UACGUAGGGGGCUAGCGUUAUCCGGAAUUACUGGGCGUAAAGGGUGCGUAGGUGGUUUCUUAAGUCAGGGGUGAAAGGCUACGGCUCAACCGUAGUAAGCCUUUGAAACUGGGGAACUUGAGUGCAGGAGAGGAGAGUGGAAUUCCUAGUGUAGCGGUGAAAUGCGUAGAUAUUAGAAGGAACACCAGUUGCGAAGGCGGCUCUCUGGACUGUAACUGACACUGAGGCACGAAAGCGUGGGGAGCAAACAGG
RNAcentral lists this ribosomal RNA (252 nucleotides) under uncultured bacterium. Its description in RNAcentral is "partial 16S ribosomal RNA". It matches the Rfam family "Bacterial small subunit ribosomal RNA", at positions 524 to 776 of the family's 1533-position model. The record is from RNAcentral.